UUGGAGGGCAAGUCUGGUGCCAGCAGCCGCGGUAAUUCCAGCUCCAAUAGCGUAUAUUAAAGUUGCUGCAGUUAAAAAGCUCGUAGUUGAAUUUCGGGACCAAUAUGUCGGUCGUGCCUCGGUACGUACUGGCAUCGUUGGUUUCUCCCUUCUGACGAACCAUGAUGUCAUUUAUUUGGUGUCGUGGGGAAUCAGGACUGUUACUUUGAAAAAAUUAGAGUGUUUAAAGCAGGCUCACGCUUGAAUACAUUAGCAUGGAAUAAUGAAAUAGGACGUUUGAUUCUAUUUUGUUGGUUUCUAGGAUCGACGUAAUGAUUAAUAGGGAUAGUUGGGGGCAUUAGUAUUCAAUUGUCAGAGGUGAAAUUCUUGGAUUUAUUGAAGACUAACUACUGCGAAAGCAUUUGCCAAGGAUGUUUUCAUUAAUCAAGAACGAAAGUUAGGGGAUCGAAGACGAUCAGAUACCGUCGUAGUCUUAUCAUAAACUAUGCCGACUAGGGAUCGGAUGAUGUAUUUUUUAUGACUCAUUCGGCGCCUUACGGGAAAC
This 544-nucleotide ribosomal RNA is filed under the name uncultured fungus. RNAcentral's name for it is "SSU rRNA". It matches the Rfam family "Eukaryotic small subunit ribosomal RNA", at positions 548 to 1098 of the family's 1831-position model. Lineage: Eukaryota; Fungi. The record is from RNAcentral.